CACGAACCGUACGAACGUUAUUCGGAACUACUGGGCGUAAAGCGUGCGCAGGCGGUUUUGUAAGUCUGUCGUGAAAUCCCCGGGCUCAACCUGGGAAUUGCGAUGGAGACUGCAAGGCUAGAAUCUGGCAGAGGGGGGUAGAAUUCCACGUGUAGCAGUGAAAUGCGUAGAGAUGUGGAGGAACACCGAUGGCGAAGGCAGCCCCCUGGGUCAAGAUUGACGCUCAUGCACGAAAGCGUGGGGAGCAAACAGG
Molecule: ribosomal RNA, 253 nt
Filed under: uncultured bacterium
Lineage: Bacteria
Description: partial 16S ribosomal RNA
Rfam family: Bacterial small subunit ribosomal RNA
Source: RNAcentral